UAUAACAAAAUAUAAAUAGGUAUUAUAAUGAAUUCAUUGUCGGUGACAAGCUUCGUGACAAGCCGUAUUUUGGCAUUCUCCUUUGACAUUCAAUAUAAAUACAAUAACAGUACAAAACAUUUAAACUUUGUAUCCAUUAUUAUAUUAUUAAUUAGGUGUCUUGGUUGCAUCAAGAUGCCAUGUACACAUUCUCCAGACUGUGAUAAGGUUCCUGAAAGUAAAAGAGCAUUUUUAAAAUGUGAAACACGCGGUGGCAACGACAGCGCCAGCGUUGGUACCGGCAGCCACCACAGCAGUAGAAGUGGCGGCCGUAUAGGUUGCAGCUGGAAACUUUGUAGGAAAAUUUUAAUCGGAGUGCCGUUGUUCCUAUGUUUGGUUUUGAUAAUUGUUAUUGUAUGUUGCAUAAUAUACAUAUUAACUGACCCUCAUAUGAGAAUGGACCUCAAGAUAACAGCACGAUCAUUUGCAAAAGACAUGCGUAAUAAAACCAAACACAUGUUUUCUCCUCCCGAAUAAAGUAAAAAACCUUCAGACCCUGUUGCCUGUUGCAAAUUCUAAAUUCAAUGAAAUAAGGUUCAAAAGAACUUAAUUUGUAUUAAAAUCCUUUAUGGUACUUUAUUUUGAUACCACCGAUGCCGUGGCAUACCGCGGUAUCGUGUUAUCAAAAUAAAGUAACAUAAAUUCUAAAUUCAUUGAAAUAAGGUUCAAAAUAACUAAAUUUGUAUUAAAAUCCUUGGCCGUGCCAUGCCGUGCCGUGCCGGCAGUGGGCGCCGGCCCUUAACCACUCUGUCAAGAUUGAUACUGCUGAGAAAUAGCUAUUUUGUAAGUUUCGGUUUUCUUGCCACAAAAAUAUUCUUAUACAAGGUAUGUUAUUUAAAUUAAUUAAAGAUGUAAUUUUUUUCGAACGAAACGAAAAUAUAUUUUAUAUUAGCACUAGGCAAUAUCUUUGGAUUCAUUUUAGUUAUAAGGUAUUACGACAACACACACGUUUAGUAUAAUUUUUAUUUAACAUAAGGAAUAACAGAACAUUGCCAAACGUUAAAAGUAAUAAAUGUGAUAUAUUAUUGAAUAGUGAGAAAUUAGAAUUUGUAAAAGAGACUACUUUCCUGAGAAUCACUGUAGACGACAAAUUGGAAUGGGGUCCUCACAUUACAUCUCUAGCGGGAAGAUUAAGCUCUGCAGCUUAUGCUGUCUGGAAAAUCCGACAGUUUACCGACAUAGACACGGCAAGACUAGUGUACUUCAGUUACUUCCAUAGCAUCAUGUCGUAUGGCAUUUUGCUGUGGGGACAGGCUGCUGACAUUGAGUCUAUUUUUACUUUACCAAAGCGCGCCGUCAGAGCUAUAAUAUACAAUCUUGGUCGUCGCGAAUCUCUCAGGGAAAAGUUUAAGGAGAUCAAUAUUAUGACCGUACCAUGUCAAUUUAUCUAUGAAAAUAUCACAGAACAGAGAAAAAUAAGUAGAAGUAGUGUGUAGGCGGGGCACGCGUAGCCCCUGAUAAGUACAGAUAUGCUUAUGUUCGUCAUUUAGACGUUUGUACGCAUAUCAGUCUUCGUUGGACUGUAAUAACGUCAACUAGACUUGGAAAAUAGCGUCAAAAAUCGAAAAAAACAUAAAAAUGACGAAAUGUGCUAUUUUAUAGUCAAAAGAUGAAAGCCAUGACAAAAAUGUGCCUAGUAGUGGUAUAUCGUAUCAUCGAUUUCCGAAGGAUCCAGAAAUAAAAGGAAAAUGGAUCGAGAUGACUGGAAGACAAAAUUGGUUUCCUGCCACUAACUAGUACAAUUUGUUUGGACCAUGUUGUACAACAAGAUAUUAUAUUAUGAGUAUAACUGAAAAAAAUGCGCAAUUUUUUACUAUAAAUAAUCAAUAAAAUUUCCAGAUUGCGCAGGCAGAAAUACCUAAUCACGUUAUAUAAUAUUGGCCACCAACUGAAGGGAAGUAACUUUGUUUAAUGUUCAGUUUUAUUUUCUAUUUUUUGUUACUUACGACUGUAAUAAAAAAAUAAUUUAUAUAUAAAGUGUGAUUUUUUAUUUUUGCAAUACAAAUUUUGUUAGAAUACUACGAACGGCAUGUGACUCUUUCCGAGUUAUAUGUACUUAACUAAGACCAUUAAGACACCACUGACAAAUGGUGAAGGAAAACAUCGUGAGGAAACCUGGGCUUAUUAUUUUCUAAUUACCUAUUAUAAGUUUGAAAUCGACAACCCACAUUUGGCAAGCAUGGUGAUCAAUGCUCAAACUUUCUCCGUGCGUGAAGAGGCCUUUGGUCAGCAGUGGCCACGUUUAGGCUAUUGAUGAUGAUGAUAGAUAGAUAGAUACUACUACUUUUUCAGUCCAGUUUCAGUUUGCUGCGCCCGAUGUGACUUGAAACUAGUACAGUGAUAAACUAAUGUAGAAAAGUCUACAUUAGUUUAUCAGAGGACGCUGCUUACUUCAAAUACAUAUAUACUUAUUUUAUUAUUCUGUAUACUAAUAAAUCUAAAUCCUUCAACUAUUAUCUCUUUAAAAUUAUAGUUUAGAAAAGAAAAACAUAUAUAUUUACAGUUUUACAAGGAAAGAUGUUUAUUUCUAUAGAAAGAUAAAAUAUUAUAAUGUAUACGAGUAUUAAAAUGUGUUGAACAUUUUAAUUAUAUCGAUAAGUAAGCUUUCGAUAUCAGAACAUUACUAGAGAAAAUACAAGCGAUAAAGUAGCUAGUUAAACAAAUGUCAACCUUAACAUGAUAGCAAUACAGCGUAAUUGAAUGCAUUUAUGAUAGUGACAUCUAGCGUCGAGUAGCAGAACUUGUUUUUGAAAUUAUGUUGCAUUGAAAAAGAAGAUUCUUUAUUUUAAAAUUAGUAGACAAAAGUCAACUCUAUUAAUAUGUAAUUAAUGUGUUUUUUCAAAGUGGUGACGGCUGAUUUAAAGGCUAUUUAACACGGACCAGUCACAGAAAGAUUUUGCUAGUGUGACAUAUUAUGAUUAUCCUGGAGAUGUGUUAAUUUGGGCGUGGCUUCAGAAAAAUUGCCACGCUGGUUCUGAUACUAACACAAGCGGUAUACUAUUUCUAUCUCUUCUUCUCUAUUCUGU
This is a long non-coding RNA of Spodoptera frugiperda (fall armyworm), 3065 nucleotides long. RefSeq lists it as uncharacterized. The record is from RefSeq and is a predicted model, not a curated record. The transcript is spliced from 3 exons. Lineage: Eukaryota; Metazoa; Arthropoda; Insecta; Lepidoptera; Noctuidae.